GCGCGGAAGAUGUAACGGGGCUAAACCAUGCACCGAAGCUGCGGCAGCGAACGUAUCACUUAAAGCGAUUCAGCGGGUUACGAUUGACGGAGCGAAGCGACGUCAAAGCGUAUACAAAGUCGAGUCGGUUUAAGGAUACGUUCGUUGGGUAGGGGAGCGUUCUGUAAGCCUGUGAAGGUGGCCUGUGAGGGUUGCUGGAGGUAUCAGAAGUGCGAAUGCUGACAUAAGUAACGAUAAAGCGGGUGAAAAGCCCGCUCGCCGGAAGACCAAGGGUUCCUGUCCAACGUUAAUCGGGGCAGGGUGAGUCGACCCCUAAGGCGAGGCCGAAAGGCGUAGUCGAUGGGAAACGGGUUAAUAUUCCCGUACUUGGUGUUACUGCGAAGGGGGGACGGAGAAGGCUAUGUUGGCCGGGCGACGGUUGUCCCGGUUUAAGCGUGUAGGUGUGUGUUCCAGGUAAAUCCGGUUCACUUUAACACUGAG
This 480-nucleotide ribosomal RNA is filed under the name Salmonella enterica subsp. enterica serovar Muenchen. Its description in RNAcentral is "partial 23S ribosomal RNA". It matches the Rfam family "Bacterial large subunit ribosomal RNA", at positions 1161 to 1560 of the family's 2925-position model. The record is from RNAcentral. Lineage: Bacteria; Pseudomonadati; Pseudomonadota; Gammaproteobacteria; Enterobacterales; Enterobacteriaceae.